This 27-nucleotide non-coding RNA is filed under the name Homo sapiens (human). Lineage: Eukaryota; Metazoa; Chordata; Mammalia; Primates; Hominidae. The record is from RNAcentral.
UCGGCACGUAGGUGGUUUGCCGCCCAC